RNAcentral lists this ribosomal RNA (744 nucleotides) under uncultured bacterium. RNAcentral describes it as "bacterial SSU rRNA". It matches the Rfam family "Bacterial small subunit ribosomal RNA", at positions 8 to 796 of the family's 1533-position model. The record is from RNAcentral.
AGAGUUUGAUCAUGGCUCAGAACGAACGCUGGCGGCAGGCCUCAAACAUGCAAGUCUAGGGGGUGUAGCAAUACAUCACCGGCGGACGGGUGCGUAACGCGUGGGAAUAUACCUAUUGGUUCGGAACAACUGAGGGAAACUUCAGCUAAUACCGAAUGUGCCCUUACGGGGAAAGAUUUAUCGCCAAUGGAUUAGCCCGCGUCCGAUUAGCUAGUUGGUGGGGUAAUGGCCCACCAAGGCUCCGAUCGGUAGCUGUUCUGAGAGGAAGAUCAGCCACACUGGGACUGAGACACGGCCCAGACUCCUACGGGAGGCAGCAGUUGGGAAUCUUGGACAAUGGGGGAAACCCUGAUCCAGCCAUGCCGCGUGAGUGAUGAAGGCCUUCGGGUUGUAAAACUCUUUCGACGGGGACGAUAAUGACGGUACCCGUAGAAGAAGCUCCGGCUAACUUCGUGCCAGCAGCCGCGGUAAUACGAAGGGGGCUAGCGUUGUUCGGAAUUACUGGGCGUAAAGCGCGCGCAGGCGGUCUUUCAAGUCAGUGGUGAAAGCCCGGAGCUCAACUCCGGAAAUGCCAUUGAAACUGUAAGACUUGAGGAUGAGAGAGGUGAGUGGAAUUCCCAGUGUAGAGGUGAAAUUCGUAGAUAUUGGGAAGAACACCGGUGGCGAAGGCGGCUCACUGGCUCAUUUCUGACGCUCAGGCGCGACAGCGUGGGGAUCAAACAGGAUUAGAUACCCUAGUAGUCC